RNAcentral lists this ribosomal RNA (253 nucleotides) under uncultured bacterium. Its description in RNAcentral is "partial 16S ribosomal RNA". It matches the Rfam family "Bacterial small subunit ribosomal RNA", at positions 524 to 776 of the family's 1533-position model. The record is from RNAcentral.
UACGUAGGGUGCAAGCGUUAUUCGGAAUUAUUGGGCGUAAAGAGCUCGUAGGCGGUUUGUCGCGUCUGUCGUGAAAGCCCACGGCUUAACCGUGGGUCUGCGGUGGAUACGGGCAGACUAGAGGCAGGUAGGGGAGAAUGGAAUUCCCGGUGUAGCGGUGAAAUGCGCAGAUAUCAGGAAGAACACCUAUGGCGAAGGCAGCUCUCUGGGACGGUACUGACGCUGAGACGCGAAAGCGUGGGGAGCGAACAGG